CUUGCAGAGACUUCCACAGCCAAGUGGUGAGAAGCUGGGAUUGCUCCCCGGUUUUGCGGAUCUUCUGUGGGACUUUCUCCUGCUUCGCCUUCCUGCCACAGUGUCUCCCUGGGACCAGCUUGGACAAUGUUGAGGGAUGGAGAGAUGUGACUUCCAUGCCUUCCAGGAAGAAUUUGGAACCACAGAUGGGCAGCAUGGAUUCACUGGAACCACAGAACCAGCAGGGAAGGGAGCCAGAAGGCUGCUGUAUCCGGGUCUCCGUUAUUACAGCUGAAGGUGAUUUCUCCGGACACGGUGCCCGCCGUGCUUCUGAGCCCACGCUGUGCACACACUCACUAGCCUCCUUGGCCAAUGUGCGUCCUCUGCAUGCUAUCAUCCGACCAUGAUGUUGCAUGAGUGGAACAACCGUCUUUUUUUUGUUUUUAAUGCCAAGAGGAGUCUGUGCAUUUUCCUUUCGACUUCUCCAGUUGUAUAGAGGAGAACGGAUCAGACUCUCUGAGGUACACAAAUCGCAUUCUAUAAAUGUUCACGGGGCGGGGUUACCAGUGGCAAACGUUAUCAUUUCCUGGAGUAAAGCUGAGUCACGCCCACUACACUUCCCAAAAGUCUAUACUUGGAAAAAAAAAAUACACAUUCAUGUCUUUGCCUUGUCUUGAAUCUUUCCCCCUAGAAAAUCCAGAAGAAAUAAGACUGAAGGAUAUUACACCUGGAAGGCAGGAAGUGGGGGGGAUGGGCU
Long non-coding RNA from Prionailurus viverrinus (fishing cat), 736 nucleotides. RefSeq lists it as uncharacterized. NCBI's taxonomy places the organism in Eukaryota, Metazoa, Chordata, Mammalia, Carnivora, Felidae. The transcript has 3 exons. The record is from RefSeq and is a predicted model, not a curated record.